This 390-nucleotide long non-coding RNA is filed under the name Lathyrus oleraceus (garden pea). Its description in RNAcentral is "Pisum sativum (pea) long non-coding RNA (PSAT_LNC023203)". Lineage: Eukaryota; Viridiplantae; Streptophyta; Magnoliopsida; Fabales; Fabaceae. The record is from RNAcentral.
AAUCUCAAAAACACAAAUCAAGCAAUCACUUUAAUUUGUUACUUUUUAUAAAAGAAGAAUGAAUAAAGUUUUUUACCUGUUAGAUGCCGAUCAAAACACAUCAAGAAAGAAUAACCCUAAAAAUCUCAAAAACACAAAUCAAGCAAUCACUUUAAUUUGUUACUUUUUAUAAAAGAAGAAUGAAUAAAGUUUUUUACCUGUUAGAUGCCGAUCACUUUAAUCUGUUCCGAAUCCGGUGCCGAUAGCAAACCCAUAUGAGAAAGAAAGGAAAGGUAUGAGUUUUUUACCUUAUCUGUAUUUUAACCUAACUUUGAAUGAAAAAGAAAAAAUAAAAAAUAAUUUUAAUUUAAAAUAAGGAUGUUUUAGUAAUUUAAUAUAUAUGAAUUAAAA